Molecule: small RNA, 395 nt
Filed under: Pan troglodytes (chimpanzee)
Lineage: Eukaryota; Metazoa; Chordata; Mammalia; Primates; Hominidae
Description: retained intron
Source: RNAcentral
GGCCUUCUCUCUGCCACUCCCCACGAGUGGGUCACUCCACGGGGAGCCCCAACGCUGGCAGGAGAGGAUCCUACAGGACAGCAAGGAGAUGCCACCUAAAAACAAAGAAAAAGGGAAGAAAUCUGGGGCACAGAAGAAGAAAAAGAACUGGGGUGAGUCAUGGUGGGUGGAGGUGCCCCCUGCUUCUCCAUGUUCUGCCAUGAAGACCACGCAGAGCUCCUCCAGAGAGAAUUCAGCCUUCUGCAGGACAGGAUGGAGCUCUCUUGACAUACCUCUUUCAUGUCCUCACAGCCAGAUCCAGGGAGCUGAGGAAGUGGGGAAAUGGUCACCCACGCUCUCCUUUAAGCCCCAUCUAGCUCUGUGCCUUCCUAAUAUAUUUGUCAUGUGUAUUUUGC